This 294-nucleotide long non-coding RNA is filed under the name Nicotiana benthamiana. RNAcentral's name for it is "long non-coding RNA (NBEN_LNC026928)". The record is from RNAcentral. Lineage: Eukaryota; Viridiplantae; Streptophyta; Magnoliopsida; Solanales; Solanaceae.
GAAGAAGGAUUAGGAUUUCUUUGACUUUUAGGAAAAAUUAAGGAAAACAGAACUCAAGGUGCAAGUACAAUAAAANUUUUCAGAAAUUUGAAUUUUGGAUUUUGUGACUGAAAAUCCACAUUUGAUUUUUCAAUAGAAAGGUAAGAGAAAGCUUUGAACAUUAUGAAUUUGGCGAUAGACUCAAUCGAAAUUGAAAGGAUGAAUCAAACCCAAUAAAAAGGGAAGAAGGAUUAGGAUUUCUUUGACUUUUAGGAAAAAUUAAGGAAAACAGAACUCAAGGUGCAAGUACGAUAA